AUCAAAACAUAGUCUGGCCUG
This 21-nucleotide non-coding RNA is filed under the name Rattus norvegicus (Norway rat). The record is from RNAcentral. Lineage: Eukaryota; Metazoa; Chordata; Mammalia; Rodentia; Muridae.